Eufriesea mexicana is the source of this 799-nucleotide long non-coding RNA. RefSeq lists it as uncharacterized. NCBI's taxonomy places the organism in Eukaryota, Metazoa, Arthropoda, Insecta, Hymenoptera, Apidae. The transcript has 3 exons. The record is from RefSeq and is a predicted model, not a curated record.
CGAAGACAUCUGGAAAAGGAAUAUUGCUCACGUUUAGAAUGGUUUCUUCCUUGCUAAUCACUAUAAAUAAAAGUAUCGCGAGCUAUCAUAAUGAUGUCAUCAGUGAAGCGAUAUCCUAUCAUCGAGAAGAGUAACUCGAAAUUAAGAUUCUACGAAACGUAAUAUGUCUCAAAAUGGACGUAAAAAGAAAUAUUAUAGGUUGCUCUGAAUUUAUUUAACAUAUAUUCAAUAUUAGAAUAAUCACUUUUAUACGCACAUCAAUGGCCAGUUCAUUGCGACAAGCGGAAGUAGAGAUUGCGCAGGAAGGCCCACAUUCUCGUGCAUAUAUCAAGGACACGGUGAUGAUACGAAGUUAAAAAAUGCGCGUGUCGAUGCAUUUGAUGAUUGCGAAAUUAGCUUGCAGCCACGAGUACGGAAACCGAAGUCCAGCGAAGGAACUUGAAAUGCACUAGUACUAUAAUUACAUAUUGUACAACAUACGAGCUUCAACACGACGACCACAACGAAAACCACGCUCACUUUCGAUAUUACAAAAACACGUUUCGCCAUAUUAUCUCAAUAGUAUUCAAAAACGAAAUAGAAAAAAAAGAAGCACGACGCAACAGGUUGGAAAAUUCAGGGGAUAAAAAAAAUCCGAGGAGAAAUUUUGUCGAAUUUUCUAUCCGAUGUGCAUGAACACGCAAGCAUCUAGAAACGAUUCAGUAACACGAAAGCGAGGAAUACACGAAAAGAAUGUCACCCUUCACUUUCUCCGAAUCACUGAUUUCACACAACACACCCUAGACUUGAGAAAUGCGAG